RNAcentral lists this long non-coding RNA (23749 nucleotides) under Homo sapiens (human). Its description in RNAcentral is "non-protein coding SRP14-AS1:27". Lineage: Eukaryota; Metazoa; Chordata; Mammalia; Primates; Hominidae. The record is from RNAcentral.
GGAGGCGCUGGGGCUGUCCUGGGUCGUCACAUGCGAGAAAUCGUCUCACCCCAGCCAGUGUGACGGAGUGAGAGCAAAAGAAAGUUUUGAUAGCAGCGUACGAUUUAUAUUCAGCUGUAUGCUGGGCAGGUCCAACUUGGCAUUUCUUGGCUGUAUCUCUGAAGGAAAGUCAUCUUAAUCUCUAUGAGCCUCCAUUUCCUCAGCUGUAAAAUGGGAAGAUCUUCCUCACACUGCUGUGGUGUCUCGACUCCCCAAAGCGACAGAUGCUGUUCAUCUCUUGGCCUCUGUGUCAUCAUUCAUCCUUGAUUGUUCGGGGAAGCCCACUCCACCUCUGUGACAGACCCACAGAUGCAGAUUUACACAGGGAAUCCUAGACAGACACAAUGAAGAAACUCCCAUCUGAUCAGAGCCAAGUCCCAGUAAUAACAUCAAUGAAUCAUUGACUUCAGUGAGUCACAAUAUUGAGCUGGAAGAGGCCUCCAAGACCUUUUUAGUCCAACCCUUUACCUGCUAGUUAUUCACAAGUGAAUAGAAACUGAGUGAGGUCCAAAGAGGGAAAAUGACUUGACCAAGAUCACAAAGCUUGGUAAUGCCAAAGGUGAGACUGGAAGCCCCGAGCCCUGAGCCCCAGGCCCAUGCACUUUCCACACACCCCUCUGCCUGCCACAAACUAGCUGGCACAGAGAGCAGGAGGGAGGGCAUAGGCCCCUCAUGACUUAGCCAAGGGCAGCUCAGUGUCUCCAUGCAGGUGGACUCCGUGUGUCAGCUUCAGCCCUCCCUUGGGAAGGGAAGGGCCUGGGGCCGUCCUCACACCCCAGGCGCCAGGCCACGGAGCUAUAGGAGGCAGCUUCCUGCUUGGCCCUUAUCCAAGGCCAUUUCACAAUGGGGGGAAAAGCGCUGAGCUGAGAGUCCCGGGUUGCUGCUCACUCCACCCCCACUCCAGCCCCUUUCAGACCCCCCAGGGACAACGAGCCAGGCCCGGCCUGAGGCUUGGGGUGAAGAGAGCUGCAAGAAUGGAGACAGGCUGAACAGCCCCUUUUGGGAGUGUUCUAUGAGCUGUGUCCCUGGAACUGGACGAGGGCACCACCUUGCAUAUUACCAGCACUAUCCCCCUUCCCUUGCCGUCCACCUGCAAGCAUUCAGGCUGGGGAAGUCCCUUCUGGGACAGGAGUGGUCGCUUCCAGUCAGCCCCAUAGCACUCUCAUGAUUAGUCAGAGGGGAACCUGGAGGCAAGAAGGCCCACAAGCUGGGAGACGGCAAGGCCUGGGUCACUUCCUGCAGUGAGGCAACGUGACUACCAGGCAGAGGAGCCCAAAUGUCUCCUCCCAAGAUGCUACAGGGUCUGGGGUGAACUGUGGCUCAGCUGACUGAAAUUCAGGCAGGAACCAAGACAGAGACACUGAGACGGGACAUUCAGCCAGGAUUUAUUAUGCCCUUACACACAGGGUCGGCUCUGAGCUCAGCUCUGUAAGGGAUCUCGUUUGAAGUAGGAGGCAGUGGUUAAGGACCCAAAUCAUCCUGUCUUCAAGUCUUGAAGAGGAGACAAAACAAACCUAGGUGAAAUGUCAAACCACAAGACAAGGCAGUGUGAAAUGAGGGCCCACACUCUCAUGCUGGACAGUCCAGUAUGGCCAGUGAAGCGGGGGUGGGGAGGGAGUCACUGCAGACAAAGCUUCGGGGAAGAGAUGGAACCGAGAAUGAUGGGGAGAACUUGACUCUGCAGACAGGAUGGGAAAGAUCUUUCAGACAGGGAAAGGAAGACAAGGCAGAAAUCAACCUGCAUACGUGAGGACAGGACCCUGUUUGCACCAGGGGUGGUCAGCCACGAGGCUGGAAAUGUGCCUGGCCACAGGGCACUUCCUCACUCUGAGCUCUUGCUACUUGAACACAGCCUUCCUUGGUAUCCGUGGGAAGUUGCUGGCCUACUGAGGCAGGAUACCACACGGAGAACUAGGCAGGGGCGUGGAGGUGUCAAGGAACUCAGCCCCUUGGUGGAGGAGCCCUCUGACAACAGGAAGCAGCUGCAACGGGCUCCAGGGCUGUACUGGUAUCUGCAACUCUCCCCCUACCCUGGCUGCACCCUGCAGAACAAACUGUUCUUCAAGAAGUUCUGGGGACAGAGGGCCCACACCUGCUCCCAGGUCGGGGUGGAUAAACCCCCAUCAGCCAGGCUGGGAGCCCAGCAGAGACAUCACACAGCUCAGCAGCCCUCCUCACCCCCUGGCCCCCUGCCUCCUCCUACCCCAGACCAGGUUGCAGUUGACUAGGGCAAUAUAACACAAAACAAGAGCUUUAUAUUAUUAUUAUUAUUAUUAUUAUUUUAUAGAGACUGGGGUCUCACCAUGUUGCCCAGGCUGGUCUCAAACUCCUGGUCUCAAGUGACCCUCCUGUCUCAGCCUCCCAAAGUGCUGAGAUUACAGACAUGAGCCAUGUUACCCAGCCAAGAGCUUUGGAGAGGGAAAUGAGAACUGAAUCUUCAUAAAUACCUCAUCCUGGAACUUCCAACAAUGUCUCCAAAAAUAGUACCUAAACUCCAGGCCUCAAACUCUAAAUUGAGUGGGGAUGUGAAGUGGUUGUGGCCUUACAGAAACAGCACUGGAGUGGCAGCCGAAGUGCUGAGUUCUAAUCUGAAUUCUGCCACUCAUUGGCGUGGGACCUUGGACAAGUCACUUUUUGCCGGACUUGAGUUUCUUCCUCUGUAACUUGGGGAGUUGGGAUUGAGCUGUAAAGUCCCUUCCAGUUUUAAAUGUGAGACUCCAAUGCUGUCAGGUAACUUUGGGAUUGCUGUAAUGACUGUUUGGGGGCUAGUAUAGCUGGGAAAGAAAUUAGGAUGAGAAUCCAAUUGAGGGCAAGAUAAAAUGGAAUUGUAUUCUAUUCAGAACUUGAAAUAGGAUGGGAUUUUGUUUUCCCCAGAUCCUCACCAUAAAGAGAUUUGGGAGAAAAUCUUGGGAGAUUUGGACUCAGAAUAUCUUAAGAGGUAGUAUUCUAGAAGAUUGCCCAACACUUGGUGGGGAAGAGCAAGAAUUCUUCCAGAUUGCUUGACAAGCAGAACAUGGGGAGUGGGUCACAGUAAUACCAGGAAAGACACAUCCCAUCCUCCCAACCCUCUUUUCCACUGAAGCUGCUCCUUACAAUUCCUGUAACUGGGGACCAGGCCUUUCAUUCCAGUUACAGCUAAAACUUAACAUGGCCAUUUAAAUUUCCCUGAGGGUAUAAAUGGCUAAUAUUCUCUCCUUCUAAGACCCAGCAUAUGCUGAGAGAGGCCUUCAGAGGAGGUGGGGGCUGGAAGAAGGAGUGAAGGUGGAGGCCCAAAGAUCACGCAGGAGCCAUGCUUUUUCUGAAGCCAGAUCUAGGCCUAGCAACUCAGAGCAGUUCCCCGUGGGCAGUGAUGUGGAAGAAGGCCCUGGGCUUCCUAAGUGCCUCUAGGUCACUUUGUGAAACCUCUCACAUGGGCCUGCCUGGGAGGAGGAGCCCAGUGUAGCCCCCACCUGUCUGCUGCCUGCUCAUCUUCCAGGGUGUUGAGGGGAUGGGUAGCAUGGCUGUCUGCCCCCACCAAUUACCCACAUGGCUUGGGUCAACCAGACUCUGUCAGAGCUGUUGAAGGAGACAUAAACCUAGGCUUUUGGAGGCAGCUUCAGGGAAAGGUGGAGUGUGUGAGGUGGAAGGUGGGUGAGAAAGUGUGCAAGGGGGAACACACUGUUCUCUACUGGCCCUUUGCCAAACAGCAAGGGAGAGAGGAGUAACAAGGCCAGACUAUGGCCAUGUUUAGUGGUUUUCAACUGCGGCCCAAAAUGAGGCAGACAUAGGCUAGGCAUGGUCUAGCCCUUGUGUGUGUGUGUGUGUGUGUGUGUGUGUGUGUGUGUGUGUAGGGGGAGUGUGAGGAAGUUGUGAGGGUGUGUGGUGUGUGGGGGAGUGGUGUGUGUGGGGGGUGUGGUGUGUGUGAGGAGUGUGUGGUGUGUGGGGGAUUGUGGUGUGCGGGGGCGGUGGUGUGUGUGGUGUGGGGUGUGGUGUGUGCGUCUGUGUGGUUGUGUGUGGUGUGUGGGGAGGUGUCAUGUGGCAUGUGUGGGGGGUUGUGUGUGUGUGAGGAGUGUGUAGUGUGGGGGGGGUUUGUGUGUGCAUGGUGUGUGUGCGCGUGUGAGGGGGUGUGGUAUGCAUGGGCAGUGGUGUAUGUGGUGUGUGGGGGGUGUGGUGUGUGGGGGUGUGUGGUGCGGUGUGGGUGUGUGUGUGUAAGGAGGUAGUGUGUGUGGAUGUGUGUAGGGGGUGUGGGGUGAUGGUGCGUGUGUGGUAUGGGGGGUGUGGUGUGUGUGUCUGGAGUGGGGAGUGUGUGGUGUGUGGGGAGGGUGGGGAUGUGUGUGUGGAGUGUGGGGGUGUGUGGUGUGUGUGUGGAGUGUGGUGUGUGGGGAGGGGGCGGGUGUUGGCCUGGGUGAGCCCUGGCAAUCGCAGCAGAGAAGAUGCCAAAAUUUUGUAUUUACUGUCAGGGCAAUGAUGCUGGAACUGCAGAUCCAGCGCCCCGAAACCCGGCCCAUCCCAAGACACUGCUUCUCACAGCCAACAGAGGAAGGAGGGAGGGGGAGAGGCCUGAAGCCGAGGCUUCUUCUUGAGGAAUGCUCGCCAGGCCAGCAGCCUUCCUCACUUCAAUGCAGCCUUCCCCUUCUAUCCACCGAUGAGCAUUUAGCGGGCAACUCCUUUGUCCAGGGCAAGCCUUCCCCAGGUCUCUCUCUUCAAAAGCAGAUGCUACCUAGUGGGAGGUGCGGAGUUAUACAUGCAAGAAAGGGCUACAGGACAGCAUCACUAGUACCAAGCUGUGAAGGAGGUGGACUUUGAAGGGAAGAAAGAAUUUAGAAAAACAGACUAGUGGACUAGUUACUGCGGGGAGCAGAGUGCCAUUUCAGGCAGGAGAAGGAGUGUGAUGUGAAUCUUAGGGAAGAGUCCUCUUUGUAUGUUCUGACAACUAUUCUCUGACACCAACGGGGCAUCCUGCAAUUGGAUUCAGUGUCAAUUCUGACACUGACUACCUGCAGUUAGUGCCUGUGAUAUUGUGAAACAGGUAUUAAUUAGGUCUUCAUUCCUGACAUACAACUCCUAAAAUCCUUGGAAUCUCCUAAGUUUUAAGUGUCUUUUUGCACGCUAAGCACCUAGGUAGCUUCAAGAUGGGAGCUGGCCGCCAGAAAGAUCAAGACAGGGUUAGAGGAUUGGGACUUUCAGCCCCACCCUUCAACCUCCAGGGAGGGAAAAGGGGCUGAAGUUUAAGUUGAUCACCAGUGGCCAAUGGUUUAGUCAAUCAGGCUUAUGUAAUGAAGCGUCCAUAAAAACCCAAAAGGGCAGGGUUCAGAGGAUUUCUUGAUAGCUGAACACGUGGGGAUUCCUGGAGGGUGGAGCACCCAUGGAGGUUAAAGAAGCUCCACCCCUCCUCCAUAGCUCACCCUAUGCAUCUUUUCAUGUAUAUCUUGUGGACUAUCCUUAUAAUAAGCUAACACAUGUAAGUAAGUUGUCCCUGAGUUCUGUGAGCUGCUUUAGUGAACCCCAAUUAGCUGGUCAGACAGAGCAGCGGCGAAACAACCCAGGGCUUGCACUUGGCAUCAGAAGUGAGGAGAGGGGACUGAGUUCUCAACCUGUGUGAUCUGACACUGUCGGCAGGUAGAGUCAGAGUUGAACUGGAGGAUGCCCCACUAGUGUCUGCUGCGGAAAUGAUAGCUUGCUUGGUGGCGGGGAGAGACCCCUGCCCCCCCAUGUGGUGUCAGGAACGUGUUGAGAGAGCAUAGUAGGAAAAACCGAGUUUGGUUUUUUUACAGUGUCAGACUCCACAAGUUAAAUGUCAAAGUCCCCAAGACUACCCUUACUUCAGAACUCAGGCGCACGCAGGGUCCACAGGCUACUGGCACUUCUGUCUGACUUGACUACACAUUUGAGUUCUCACCACCCAAACUUAGGGUUCAGUAGUUGGCUAGAAUGGCUCACAGAACUCACUGAGCAUGCUAUACCUACAAUUAGUUUUAUUAUCAUAUAGACUCAGAACAGCCAAAGGGAAGAGCUAUGUAGGGCAAGGUGUUGGGUGGGGGCGGUGUGUGUGCAGAGCUUCCAUGCCCUCUCCUUGUGGAAUGUGGUAUGUCCCUCUCCCAGCACAUUGGUGUGUUCACCAACCAGGAAGCUCCUCGCAGUUUCAGUGUCGAGUUUUAUAUGGGGCUUUACUCCACAGGCACCAUUGAUGAAAUCAUUAACCACAUGACGAACUCAAUCUCUAGUCCUUCCCUCUCGCCCCAGAGGUUGGCGGUGCAGUAGGGAUGGGAGUAGGGAUGAAAUUUCCACACUCUGAUCACAUGCUUGGUCUUUCUGGCAUGGCCAGUCUCUCCCUUAAAAUUAAGGGCCCACCUUGAGUUGCCUUCUUAUCAUAACCUGAGGUAUGAUGGAAAUGCUCAUUACAAAUGACAAAAGGCGUUCCUGUCACUCAGGAGAUCCCAAAGGUUUUUAAAGCUCUGAGCCAGGAAAGGGGGACAAAGACCGAAUGGGCUUUUUAAAAAGUCAUAGCAGAGAUUGUAAUGGGCAGUUCCUAGGGAAAGGAAGUGGGAGCUGAGGAUGGAAAGGCAGGGUGGGGCAGAUGUAUAAGGUCAGAAGUUGAUGGGUACGGGGAGGAGAAAUCAGCCCUGCCCUCCUAAGGAAGUGCAGGCAGAGGAGAAGCAGUAGACACCACUCCCUCACUUGAGUGUCUUGGGGGAAUCUUUCACUCUUCCAGUAAGUUUAAUUUUCCCCUGGGUAGUUCGUCCAGGAGGAGGCAGCCUUCAGUUUCUGCUUUGGCACCAACGUCCCCACAACUCAGGUCCAGGUUCCCUCGUGCAGCCUCCUGACAUUCCCCACAGUUCAAAUACCACCUCCUUCUAGAAGGCUUCCCUGAUUACCCAAGUGGGAAAAGACCCUGCCCUGAAUUCUGAAAGCCCUUUGAAACCGUCCCCUACUGCCCCGCGGGGACGUCAAGACAACUUACUGUGACUCAUUCCUAUCUCCCCAGUUUGAUCCUGAGCACUUUGCCUUACCCCUUUCUGCUUCGUUCCAAACAGCCGGCACUGUGUGCUUCAUAGAACAUUUGUGAGCUCUGCAGACAUUCUGUCAUCAUCGGCCCCUCCUCUGCCCCUAACCAACUUGCUACCUUCCCUUGCAGAGCCCUGCCUCUGAAUAGAGUGUGAAUGUCUGCCCUGCCAGCCUGUGAGCUCCUCCAGGGAAAGAAUGUGUGUCUACCUUCCAAGCCUGACAAGCAGUGGGUGCCCAUGUGUGCGGAGUGAACUCAGUCACUUUUCUCCUAGACGGCGUCACCUUUCUCACAUUUAGGGAAAAUCAAGUGUAAGGGAAUGAGUUACUUAUUCUCGUAGAAGAAUGGGAAGAGUGAGAAGAAAGUUGGGGGUGAAGCAGGACUCACACAAAGGCAAGAUGAGAGAUCAGACCAACCUGGACCUGUGACAGGCAGGCACAUGGGCAGCAUGAACAUCCCACUAGCCUCUGGGGACAGCAUGGCAGAAAGGAGCCAUUCUGGGAAACUGUGAAACUUUCCCCUUGAAUGGCUUCCAGCCCCUUUAACAACCCCAGAGCAGCGUCCCAGCCUUGGUGAGCUGGGGUUUACUCACUCACACUCACGGUUACCACGCAGAGGCCCAGGCUGAGGGGGAAGGAACCGCCUGCUCAGCCCCCACUGAGGCCGGCCCGGUGCUCCUCUUGGCAUCACUCUGAGGGUCCUCAGUGGGCAGACCCCAGGUGGGGUGAGUUGCACAGCCCAAGAAUGAAGCUCCCUUCUGCCUCCCCUGGGCAGGUCCCAUGACUUGGAGGAAAUUGCUCCAGAGAGUGGCAACUAGACAUGAAGUGGGACACGGUGCCCAGGGUUUCUCAGUGGCCUCUGAAGCCACCCAGAGUCAGUGAGAGUAUCUUGGCCUCUCUCUGUGGGCUUCAGGGCCUCUCAGGCAGGUGUUUGUCUCUGGGAUCCCUGGAUCACGAGCCCUGUGACUCUUCCACGGCCAGCUUCCCACCCCACACCCCUGCUGAGCAUGUUACCCCGCAUCCUGGGGGAGCCACCAUUUGGGAAUAGAUUGGAUGGAGAAGGCCUGCUCCCAAGAAACAGUUAAUCCUCUCCCCUUCCCCCAGGCCCCUUGCACCUGCAGGCUGUGGUGUGUGGUUUCCCACAGCUGCAGCUGGCUCUGCAGAGCCCCUCCCUUCGAGGGAACCUGAGAGGCUCAGGGCCUGAGGCGCCAGGAGAGGCUCCUCGCCCUCUGUCCAGCUGCUGGGGAUGGCAUGAGAGGGCCUUGCUGCCCUCUGACCUGGACAUACCACAAGAGUGCUCUGGUUGAGUGACCCAUAUGUGAUUCCUGGCUUGCAAGCCAAAGGCAGAGAUUCCAGUUUGGGAGGUCAGAGAGGUUUCUGAGAAGGGAAAUCAGCCAUGAGGCCCCCCAGUCCUGGGCUUGCUCCAGCUCUGCUGCCUUCUGGAAGAAGCUGACUGGCCUGGGUGUGGGCUGGGCAUUCCCCUGGGGUAGGAUGCAGGGCUCCAGAAAGAGAGGGUGAGUGGAGGGUAAGAGGUGACUGGGAAGGACCGGGAGGAACAGGAGGAAGUGAGAUGUGGCAGGGCCAGGCCUCUGCUGGUCAAGACAGCCUUGAAGCCACGGUGCUACAACUCUGGCAGGGUCAGCCCUCUGGCUAUCCCAGAAGAGGGCAGGUUGCCACAGAGCCUGGGCAAAUACCCAGCUGCCCUCUGAACCAGGUGUUCCAGGGACACCUCCGAAUACUGCUUACACUGAGACAAUGAGACAAAAAGUGCCAGCAGCUUCCUGGCUGGGACACACCUUCAGGAGCAUUAGCCUGGAGCAGAGGCUGAACCCAUCCUAACAGCUUGCCCAUGUCCCCAGCCCCGGGCUACCGGGCAAGUGCUCACAUCCCCUGGGGACAGGUGGAUGGCACACAGGGUCAUGGCGGAGGGCUGCUCACUGGGUCCAGAGCCAGGGUCUGGGAAGAGGGAGGGAGAUGCAGGAAUCUGACAGGCUUGAGCCUCACAGGGCCCAGGGCUCUGGCUUCUCUCAGAUCCAGCUCUGGGCAAUGUUUCAGUUCAACACUCUCCCUGGGAGGCUGUGUAGCCUGGGGCUCAGGGCUUUGGUGGCGUCCUGUCUGCAGAAAAGCCCCACUCCCCACUAAGAGACAACUCCCCAUACCAGAGCAGGAAGAGAGAGGGCGAUUGAGCAAAGGAGGCCUGAGGGGAAACAGAGACACCCAUCUACAGGAGCCCCUGAGUCAGGUGUGGGAGGAGGGAGAGGCAGGGCCCAGCAGAAGCCACCGUUUGCGCCACACUCCUCUACCUCAGGCGGAGACCAGCUGCAGGGUGGCAGCCAGGGUUUGGAGGAGGUGAGGGAGCGUGCCGGCCCGGCACCCAACAGGCUUCAGUCUUGGCUCCCACACAGCUUGAUGCUCCUUUCGGGGUAUAACUGAUGCCAACCACCCAGGGCCACUGCCAGGAGUCCACUGUGUACUCAGACUGUGCUUGGCCCAUUCGCAGCAGUGCCACAGGGCCACAGGCGCAGAGCUCUGGCUGGGAGUCACUGCCAAUUUACAGUUUGCCCUCAGGUGUGUGGAGGCAAAGCCCUAUGAAAGAUUAGCUUUGCGCUCCGGAGGAGAGGGCGCAUGGCAGGUGAUCUGCCCACCAUGGCUUAUUUGUGGCUUCAUCACUGUGAUGACACUAUGUUUGGCAUUUACUCAUUAUUGUUAUCCAGACCCCACGUUAUCAAGAAAAGUACAGGAAAUCUGCCGUUGGGAGAGCGGCAGCACCCAUGUGGAGUGCCACUUUCUGAUCUGGGACUUAAACAACAUUGCUGUUUUCCUCCUUGCUCCAAGUCAUCCAUUUUGACAAUUUUAUAUCAGCAUGGACCCUUCACCAAGACUGAAAUAACUCUGUUAUUGAGGUUGGGAACACGGAGAUGAAUAAAACAAGGCCCCUGUCCUGGGAGAGCCGAGAGGCCACCUGUCAGCUGACAUCUUAGGGAGGACACCAUCUACAUCCAACCCUGACUACUGAACACUUCCAGUUUCUUGGAAGAAAGAUUUUAAAAUCUUCAGAAAUGAGAACUCCUCCAAAUAGGAUUUUCAUUUGUUUCAUAUAUUUUAAAAUUUUAUAUUUUAAUAUGUAACAGUCAUAUGGUUUAAAUAUAAAAAUGACAUCAGUGGCUCAGUAAGAAGUUUUCCUCCUAAUUUUUCCCUAACAGUUCCCAAUUUCUGAUAUAAAAAAUGUUAUAUCCUUGCAGGAUUUACUUAGGUAAAUACAUGUUCUUAGUUUUCCUCUUCAUUAUUCCAAAGGUUGUUUACUGCAAGCAUGGUUUUUCUUGCUCAUACAUCCUGGAGAUUGUCCCAUAUCCACACAGAGAAGGUUCCCCAUUUUUUUCUUACAGCCGCAAAGUGUUCCUUGUUCUAAACCAGGUUUCUAUUGAUAGUACUGGGUGGCUGGUCCUCAAUCUUUUGCUCUCAGACUGUGCCAUGUAUGUCCUUUCAGAGGGGGGCAGGUACAUCUGUAGGAUGGGUUCAAGGGUUUGUAAUUGAGAGAGAGAUUGCAAAUUGUCCUCCACAGAGGUUGCACUGCUUUCAUCCCCACCAGCAAUGUAUGAAAAGGCCUGUUUCCUGUUUUCCCUAUCAGGCUGAUAUUUAUUUAUUUAUUUGUUUAUUUACUUAUUUAUUAGAGCCAAGGUCUCACUCUGUCACCCACGCUGGAGUGCAAUGGCGUGAUCAUAGCUCUCUGCAGCCUCAAACUCCUGGGCUCAAGUGAUCCUCCUGCCUCAGCCUCCUGAUUAGCUGAGACUACAGAUAUGUGCUACCACACCCGACUAAUUUUUCACUUUUUGUGAAGACAGUGUCUCGCUAUGUUGCCCCGGGGUGUGGGGGGAGUUCUCUAACUCCCGGCCUCAAGCAAUCCUCCUGCCUCUACCUCCCAAAGUAUUGGGAUAAGCUAAUAUUUUUAAAGAGAAAGGAAGGAGGCAAUAUGAGGCCUCUAAAGAAGAGAGGUAGGAAGAAGGUGAAGCCCAGAUGCCUGGAGCACACAGAGCUGCAGCCACUGCCUGCAGCUUUGCUUAUGAGGGGGAUUGAGUUUCUUCAGGCCAUGAUGUUUGAUUUGUGUUUGGAGCAGUAAGCCUUACAGCUGAUAAAUGGUUUUUUUCUCCUGGGGGAGCACGAGACUCUAGGAAGAUAAUCUAUUAGGAGAACCUGAGGGAAGAGAGUUUAGUUGGUGCAUGUGGGUGUGAGGUUGUUUCUCGGUCCCUUCAGGCUGCUAUUGCAGAAUACCAUAGACUGUGUGGCUUAGAAACAACAGAACUUUAUUUCUUACAGUUCUGGAGGGUGGGAAAUCCAAGAUUGAGGUGCCAUCAGAUUCGGUGUCUGGUGAGAGCCUGUUUCCUGGCUCAUAGACAGCACCUCUCACUGUCCUCACCUGGUGGAAGGGUGUCGCUGGGGACUGAGUGUCUUCAUUUUUAUCAGUGCUUCUUUUGUAAGGGCACUAAUGCCCUUGUGCGGGCUCCACCCCCAUGACCUAAUCACCUCCCAAACAGCAUCACCUCAGGGAUGAAGAUUUCAACAUGUGAAUUGUGGGGGACACAAGCAUUCAGAACAUAGCAGGUGGCAUAUGAAAGUGCAGACCACCAUAUCCAGCAAAUACAUAUGCAUUUCCAAUAGUCAGGGGAAGAGACAGAGGGAGAGGUGGAGGAGGGUGGAGAAGAGGACAAUCUUCUCUGAGGAGGUAACGUUUGGGCAGAAUCCAAUUCAUAGAUCUGGGAAGAAAAGUUCCAGCAAAGGGACAAGCAAGGGUCAAGAUCCUCAGGGGAAGGAGAGGAGAGGGGCCUGCUCAAGACAGUGAGUGACCUUGGAGGAAUUGGGACAGGGAAGGCAGUCAGCAAAGCUGGGAGUCGGGGGGGUGCUGGACCAUGGGGAGCCUGGAAGGCCAUGGCAGGGAGUUUGGGGUUUAUCUUAAGAAUAAUGAGAAAAAGAAACUGGUCAGAAAAACCACAUAUUGCAUUUUUCCAUUUCUACAAAAUAUCCAAAAUAGACAAACCCAGAGAGACAGAAAGCAGAUUCGUGGUUGGCUGGGGCUGGGGAGAUUGGGAGGAAAUGGGGAGUGACUAAUAAUGGGUGCUGGGUUUCUUCUGAAGGAUGAUUACAAUGUUCUAAAAUUGAUUGUGGUGAUGGUUGCACAACCCUGCAAAUAUACAAAAAAAAAAAAAAGCCCAUUGAAUUGUAUACUUUCAGUGGGUGAAUUAUAUGAUAUGUGAAUUACAUCUCAAUAAAGCUGAUUUAUUUAUUUAUUCAUUUAUUUAUUUUGAGACAGGAUCUUGUUCUGUCGCCUAGGCUGGAGUGCAGUGACGUGACACAAUCACAGCUCACUGCAGCCUCGACCUCCCAGGCUCAAGUGAUCCUCCUACCUCAGCCUCCUAAGUAACUGGGACUAUAGGUGCAUGCACCACCAUACCCAGCUAAUUUUUAAGGUGUUUUUUUUUUUUUUGUAGAGACAGGGGUCUCACUAUAUUGUCCAAGCUAGCCUCAAACUCCUAGGCUUGAGUGAUCCUCCUGCCUUGGCCUCUCAAAGUGCUAGGAUUAUAAGCGUGAGCCACUAUGCCCAGCCUUGUUAUUUUUUAAAAAAGGAUUUUAAAAAAUUAUAAAAAGGAUAAUAGGAAGCUGUUAGAGGGUGAUUUAAUCAGCAGUAACAUUCUCACUCAGGCUGUUGUGGGAGAACAAACUGUAGGGAGGGGAGAGUGGGGGCAGGAGAUGGUUGGGAAGCUAGUGCAGUCGGCCAGGCAAGGAGCAAUAGUGACUUGGCCUGGGUGGGUCACUUUGUGAUGAGGAUUAAUGAAAAGGCCAGACUGGGGUAUUUUUUGAAGCUAGAGUUUGAUAAUUGGUUGUGAGGGGUGGGAGAGAGAGAUGAAUCCUGGCCAUUUAACUGCAGUGAAAAGACUGGAGGAAUAGUUGGACAAGCGGAGGGACGGGGCAUACGAGUUCUGUUUUGAACAUGACAGGCCUCCGAGGUGUCCACUAGGCAGACGGGAUGUCAGGGCAGGGUUACCACCAUGUAGAUGGUCACUGCUAAGAGCUGGGCACUCCUCCAAACACAUACAUUAAAUCAUUUAGUCUUCUCAGUAACCUAUGAGGCGAGAGCUGUAGCUAUCCCUGUCCAUAGGGGGCGUAUCCUGUGUGCCAUUUCAGAUGCCCGCGGCCUCACCUCUUGUUCCAGCCAUUGCCCCAGUGACCAGUUUUGCACAGGUCUUGACCAGUGCCGUGUAAAUGUCGCCUGGCAGGGCCUCUCCACAUGCCUCUCGCCCAACACCAUGAUGGGGGGACACCCAUGGAACCUGCUUGGCAUUAACACAUGAGCCGCCCAGAAGUGAAGGGGAGCUAACAUUCCAUGGGAUGACUCGAGAGGAGCCAAUGGAUAACUGUCCCCCUUCUUCCAGUGAGUUCUGAAGUACGUUUCAUAAAGCUUCACAGAAAGACUGAGUGGUGUUCACUCAGAGAGAUGUUAACACACUCCCAUAUUGACUCCCCCCUUUCUCUGUUUCAUUCCUCCUCCCCCUCACCCCUGCUCCCUGGGAUCAUGUUCCCAAAUAAACUACUCAUGCUUAAGCCUUUGUCUCAGGCCCCAUGUAAGAUCUGAUCUUACAUGGAGAAUUUAACAGCAACAACAUCACACCAGGGGCAUGCUCACCAGGGGCAGAGCAGGGGUUCACACCCCGGCAAGCUUCUCUACUCGCUUCCAUGUUGCCUCUCAAAGAUCCCAACCUCUAGAGGACAUUUAAAGGCACAGGCCUAGAUGGAAUCUAACCAUCUAACCGGGAGAGACUGUAAAUAAGAAAAAAGUCCCCACACCAUGCUCACAUUUAGAGAUCAAGAAGAGGAGGAGCCAGCGAAGGAGCCAGAGAAAGAGCUGCCAUCCGGGUAGGAGGAAGCCAGACCAGUGUGGAGUCCUGGACUCCAAAGAAAGACAGCGUUGCAAGGAGGAGCGAGUGCCCUACUGUGCAAACGCUGCUGAGAAAUUGAGGAGGUGAGACCAGGAGACAGACCUUUUGGAUGCGCCAGUAGGAGGUCACUGGUGACUUGGACAAGGGCAGUUUCAAUGGAGUGACAGAAACAAAAACUUGGCUGGUGUAGGCUAAGAGGGAAUGGAGGUGAAGAUUCGGAGAAGUAGCCAGCAGGGACAACCACUUCAAGGAGGGGUGCGUAAAAGGGAGGAGGAAGUGGAGCAGAAGCUGAAGAGGGUGUAGGGUCAAGGAAGAGUUUGUUUUGAAAGUGAGAGAGAUCAUAGCGCAGUUAUGUGCCGAAGGGAAUGGUCUGGCAGAGAGAAGGAGCUGGAUAGUGCAGGAGGGAGAAAGGUGAUUUCAGGCAGUCUUGAGUAAGUGAAGGGAUAUGGUGCACAAAAUGAAGGGAUUGGCCAGGGAUGCAAGAGGAGGCCAUCCCUCCAUCUGUCCAUCCAUCUAUCCAUCUGUCCAUCUGUCUGUCCAUCCAUCCGUCUGUCCGUCCGUCCGUCUGUCCACCCAUCCAUCCAUCCAUCCAUCUGUCCGUCUGUCCAUCUAUCCUUCCGUCCAUCCAUCCAUCCAUCCAUCUAUCCAUGCAUGCAUCCAUUGUGAGGAAGAAAGGUAGCAGCGGGCAUAGAUGCAGGCACCUUGGGAGAUCUGAUGGUGAGAGGCACGUACGUUCCAGCAGAUGACAUUUAGUUUCUCAGCAAAAUAAGAAGCAAGAUCUUUAACUAACAGCGAGAAACUAAGGGAAGGUGUUGAGGGUUGGAGAAGAUGUGAAACACUUAUCUGGAGAGUGGCGCAGUGAAUUUAGUAGAGAAAUAUAGUAAGAUUACUGGGCAAGCUGAGCGCCCACUUGAAGUUUGUGGUCAGAAGCGUCAAGUGCGGCUAUUCAGUAUGACUGUGAGUUUCCCCGGCAAUGCUCAGCUACUCAGUGCAGGUGCAGGGUGUUGGGUUUAAGCAGGGUGGAGGCUGUGUCAGGAGAUUCCAAAUGAAGGGAAAAGAGCAAGAAAGGAGAGGGCUUCCACAAAUGGGUGAUUCUUGUCAAGGCCUACAGAAUUGAGCUGGAGAAGGGGGUUGAAGGCAGUGAAAAAGGACAAGUUCAAAGGCAGGGAGUUCCCAAAGGGGACACAUCAUUGAAUGGAGGUAAUAGAGUAGAUAAGCUGAGAGCCGAGGAAGGGGUGGUCAGGGAGCAGGGGGUUCAGAAGUGCUGAGGCAAAACCCUGGCCAUGGGAGUGGGAGGCCCAGGCAGCAGAACGAGAGGUGGAGAGUGAGGAGGCCAAAGACCAAGAGUGGGAGGUGCUGGGUGGACAUCUACAUGGAUGACCUUCCUUGUCCACCAUCUCUUAAACAGCUCCCCAUCCUGCCACUACCCCUUCAUCUGCCUUUUCCUUUCAUAGCCCCUCUGUCUAACAUUAUUUUACGUAGGACUGGUUCAUUGGUUAAUUAUCCUUGCUGCCAUCAGAAUGUAAGCAUCUGAGGGCAGGGACAUUUUCUCUCUGGUCUACACUUAUAAACUCUUUUCUAAGAACAUACCUGGCACAGAUUAGGUGCUCAGAAACAUGUGCUGGACAAAAGAAUGAAUUAAUGUUAAGGUCUAGGAAAAGCAUGGAGGAGUGGUGGUGGAGAGGAAGACCGUGGGCCAGGUACUAAAAUCUGUGAAUGAGCAGGAGUGGCCUAGAGUAUGGUAAAUACUAGAAGGGAUGGUGGAUGGUCUGGUCUGAUGGCAUAGCUGCAAAGGAGAUGCAGACUUAGGCUGAGGAGGAAGGGGGAGAAACCUACAGGUGGCCAUGAAAGCAGGGAGGACAACUCGCUGCCUCCAGGCAUACUGAUGUGGAAGAAGAAAACAGAGCCAAGACAGGAGGUGGCUGCAAGGAAGCUGUGUGUGGGGGUCAGGCAGGUUUGCAGUAGAACAGGAUGGUGAAAGGAAUGUUCAAAGGGAAAGUCGAGUGGAUGGGGAGAUUUUGCUGAUGACAAACCAUAAGUUCCCGAGAGCAGAGUGAAAGGAUCUGGGGGAUUGUGUCAGAUUAGGGGAAUAGAGCUACAUGGGGGUGAAAGUCUUGGGGGUGAAGGAUGAACAACAGUGUCAGGCUUCUGGAGGUGUCUAGGGACACAAGGCCACAGGGCAUGAUGGGCUCUCCUGAAGGUCUCUCUUGGGCAAGUGGGUACCCCUGCUCACGCCAGCUCCUCCUCCAGCCAGGGCCCACGGGCCAUGGACCACAGUGAGGCAGUGAUAUUGGCGUUGGAGGGGCCUUGCCAGACACUGAGUGUUCGGGGUGGGAGGAGAGGGCAGCUUUGGGUAUUGGAAGGAAAGUCGAGCAGGCACUCCGGAGACUAGAUUCUCAUCCAAAUCUUUCCUACAAACCAUGACGUAACAUUGGGCAAAAUGGUCAUGAUUUUCCUUAUCUAUAAAAUAGAGAGGAGAGGAGGUCUCUCUUAGCUGUGCAAAUCCUGGCCUCUGUCUCCUUCUUUCCCUGACUUCUUCUAGCUCCUGUCUCCUCAGCCCUCCCGACUUGUAGCUAAGCCCUGGCUUUGUAUUAACCACCCUCCUGCUGUCAGCAUCGCUGAGAGGCAUAGCCAAGGCCUGCCCUCUUCCUCCUCCCUGGCUCCAAAAUGCUCCAUGCACUGUCCCAUGCCACUCUGAUCCUGAGCAGCCAAGUGGGCAGAAUGACACUCCUUUGGGCGUGGAAGUGAACAUCAGCCAUGAGUAGGGAGAGGAAACUGCCCACAGAGAGGGCAGACUCCAUCAGGGGCAAGUGACAAAGCCACAGACUGGCAUGAAGAGGCUUCCCAGGCCCUCUGGAAGGCAGUGAAGCCAGCAGCCUGGCUCCUGGGAUGGGCUGUCCCCUAUUCAGCAGCUCCAUGGGCCUGGAAGUGGGCCCAGGGAGCCAGCCAGAAGGAGGCUGUGGCCAGAGGCUUGAUUUGCAGCCCAGGACUAGGACGCAGGGUUCUCAUCCAGGCUUCACCCACAGCAAAUGUGCGACUCUCCCUGGCCCUCUGGGUGGGGAUUAUAAUAACUACCUUGCUUACCCCAGUUGCUGGAGGCCAAUAUUCACUGAACAUUCAUCAUGAGUCAGGCAUUCAGUAAUCCUCACAAUGGCCCUAGAAAUUGGCCUGUACUAUUUUCAACCCUUAGGGAGGAGGUGACAGACACAUAGAACAUCUAAGUAACUUGCCUGACACUCCACAGCUUGUAAGUGGCAGGGCCAGGCUCUUAGCCCUAAACCAUACAUUAGAGAUUUAUUAUCAUUUAGGUCCCUCAACAAUCUUGUGAUGCAGGUAUUACCAUCCAUUUUACAAACAUGGCAAUGGCUCAGAAGUCUUCAGUUAUUUGCCCAGGGUCACUUGGCUGACUGUAGCAGAAUCAGGAUUUGAACCCAGGCCCAACUUCAAAGCCAGUCCUCUUCUCAUUGGGUUGCGCCCCCAGCAUUAGCACAGGGACAGUUCCUCAGGCUGACUGCCCAAGGCCCCAUCUGUGCAAACAGGAGAGGAAAUGGCAGCCUAACUCCAGGCAGGGCCCGGGCUCAGAAGGGGGUCUACAGGGCUGAAGAGGCAGCUGGCCAGAGAUUCCACAGGAAGCAUCUUGUUGACACAUCUUCAUCACUUUGGAAUUUGAGCAACAACAUUUACCCCUUCUGAAACUCACCCAGAGGAAGCGGAUUUUCUGACGCAUAUGAAGAGUGAGAACUGUCUACAUCUAAGUCUUCUUUGAGAACAAUACCAGCUGAGCGGCUAUUUACAUUCCAGCUUCUUUUGAGAAUCUCUGAAGAUGAUUAAGUCAUUGUCAGCUGGCCCAGAACCAUAUCCUGCUCCACAAGCCUCGUCCUUGGCAAGAAGUUGCACCUGCCCAGAGAGAAAACCUUUUGAAACUGGCACAAAGGCACUGGAGAGACUGGCAGGGCCCCCUACUUGACGAUCUGGCUCAUCCAUCUGCACACUGACCACGCUAAGAGCUGUCUGCAGUGAUGGAAACCUUCUCUAGCUGUGCUGUCCUCUAUAGUGGCACCAGCUGCCUGUGGCUACUGAGCACUUCAACUGUGGCUGCAGAGACUAUGUUAAAUUGUAUUUAAUCAUAAUUAAUUUAAUUGUAAACAACUACAUGUGGCUAGUGGUUUCUGUACUGGGCACUGCAGGUGCACAUUUCCUGCUGGCCAUGGACAGUAAGCUCCAUAAGAGACUAAUUGUGCCUGGUUUGCUUAUAGGCUUAUCCUCAGCACCUGCACCAGCCUAGAAUAUGAUUGGCACUCUAUUAAUUAAAAGUUCCCAGGUAAAUGAAUUAGUGGAUUCUCUGUUUCCUCCACUAUGCCACAACCUCCUUAAGGGCAGAGAUGGUGUCUUCAAAAAAAAAAAAUUCUGGUCAAAAACACAUAAGAUCUACCACCUUCACCAUUGUUGUGUCCAGUUCAGUAGUAUUAACUACACUUACAUUGUGAUACAACAAAAGAUUGUGUCUUUUUACAUUCUUAGGACCCAGCACAGUGUCUGGCACAUAAUCUUAGUAAACACUGGCAGAGCACAUGCCUUUGCCAAGGCCAGAACAGAGGUUCAGUGCCAUCCAUUACCACCCUUUCACACAUCCACUGGGGCUUUAAAAACAACCUGGAAUGAAAGCUGUUGAGUCUAGAGAAAUGGGCUACAAAGAAGGUUUACAAGAUAAUCUAUUAAGAAUAGGGAAUACAGGCCGGGCACGGUGGCUCACACCUGUAAUCCCAGCACUUUGGGAGGCUGAGGUGGGUGGAUCAUUUGAGGUCAGGAGUUCGAGACCAGCCUGGCCAAUGUGGUGAAAUCCUGUCUCUACCAAAAAUUAUCCAGGCAUGGUGGUGCGUGCCUGUAGUCCCAGCUACUUGGGAGGCUGAGGCAUGAGCAUCGCUUGAACCCGGGAGGCAGAGGUUGCAGUGAGCCGAGAUCGCGCCACUACACCCCAGCCUGGGUGACAGAGCAAGACUCCGUCUCAAAAAAAUAAAAAAACCUAAAAUAAAGCUUAAUACACAUGACAUAUGGAUUGGCAGUCACACAUAAAUAUGAUUGAUAAGGAUACAAAUAUUUGGAGGUGCUGCCUGACCAUCUGUUGCUGAUUAUGUGGAGAUCACUUGUCUAGGACCCUGAGAUAGACUGAUGUUUCUAACUCUGCCACACACGGUCUCUCCCACCCUCCAGACACUUUCUUCCUUCAGUUCAGGGAACCCUCAAUACACAGUAAGAAUGAAGAGGUUGCAGGUCUGAGCUUGAGGAGGACUGGACUAAAAGGAGUUUAGCCCUGCCAGGGCAUUCCGAGGACUGUGAAGAUCCGGAAUAUUGGCCACAGGCAUCUAUGUAUUUGAAUCAUAUCCAUUUUUGAGCUCACUCCUAGCAGAGGAGUCAAAACUUACGUUCUGGCCCCCAGGUACAUUUCCAGUCUCUUACUCAUAAAAUUGUGACAUACCCCCAGGGGUGCCCAAAGGGGUUUGUGAAUCAAGAUAGUUUGAGGAGAAUCGAUUUUCUGAUCCUCAGUUUUUCUAUGCUCUUUUUCCUAAAAGCGAUAUUCCUAAAAAGGCAUCCAAGACAAGGCAUCCCCUUUCCCAUUUGCUGGGGAAGACAGCUUUACAAGAGAAAGCUGCCCCUCUCACCCAUGUGACCCCCCACUCUGGGGCACUGCCCUAGGGGUAGAAAUCUCCAAGGCAUCAAACAAAGUGACUCCUGGGGGUCAAGUGACAGAGGAGCAAGUCUUUCUGCAAGUCAAGUGGUUUCCAGCUCUGCUUUCAGCAAAAUUGAAAGAGGCACUAAUCAAAUUGCCAGCGGAUCAUAAAAAAACAUUUUGAUAAUAAUGUUAUUAGGCAUAUAACUUGGAAGAAGUUCAAAGAAUUGAAUGGCAUCCUCAUAACAAACUCAUCGGCUUCCAUUUAUUUAUUUAUGUGGACAGUGUUUCUCAAUGUUUAAACCUACAAAAGACUAAACAUGGGAGUAAACUUCAUGUUGAACCUUGUGUGAGUCUAGCAAUAAGUCAUCCACAUAUACAUACACUAAUUGGGAAGAAAACCUGUCCCAACCCCAACUAUUUUAUUAAGAGAUGCAUUUCCAAUAAAAAUUUACCUUUUAUGUUUAAUAGUUGUUUAUCAAAUUUCGUAAUUAUUUACAUUGCUCUGAUCAAUUGGAUAUAAACUAUUCUAACACUAAACUCAUAACCAAAAAAUUAAUGCUCAGCUUUGGGAACAGAGGAAUUUUUUUUUUUUUUUUUUUUUUUGAGAAGGAGUCUUGCUCUGUUACCCAGGCUGGAGUGCAGAGGCGCAAUUUCAGCUCUCUGCAACCUCCACCUCCCGGGUUCAAGCGAUUCUCCUGCCUCAGCCUCCCAAGUAGCUGGGACUACAGGUGUGUGCCAUCACGCCUAGCUAAUUUUUGUAUUUUUAGUAGAGACAGGGUUUCACCAUGUUGGCCAGGAUGGUCUUGACCUCUUGACCUCGUGAUCUGCCCCUCGGCUUCCCAAAGUGUUGGGAUUACAGGUGUGAGCCACCAGUCCCGGCCAGAAGUUUUAAUCUUUAAAUUUUAUUUAAUACAAUAAUCAAUCAAAGAUUUUUCUUUCUUUCUUUUUUUUUUUUUUUUUUUUGAGACAACUUCUCCCUUUGUUAGUCAGGCUAGAGUGCAGUGGUGCAAUCAUGGCUCACUGCAGCCUUGACCUCCUGGGCUCAAGCCAUCCUCCUGCCUCAGCCUCCCCAAAGUACUGGGAUUACAGUCAUGAACCACCAUGCCUAGCCAAUAAAAGAUUUUCAAGCAUAAAAAAUAAAUACAGGCUGGGUGCUGUGGCUCACACCUAUAAUCUCAACACUUUGGGAGGCCGAGGUGGGCGGAUCAUUUGAGCCUAGGAAUUGGAGACCAGCCUGGGCAAUAUGGUGAAACUGUGUCUCUACAAAAAAUACAAAAAUUAGCAGGGCAUGGUGGUGCAGGCCUGUAGUUCCAGCUACUCAGAAGGCCGAGGUGGGGGAAUCACCUGAGCCCAGGAGAUUGAGGCUGCAGUGAAUCAGGAUCACACCACUGCACUCCAGCCUGGGCAACAGAGCAAAACCCUGCCUCAAAAAAAAAACAAACAAACAAACAAAAAAAAACCCUUACAUUAGCAUAAAAUCUGUAACAGGAGUGAAAUGGAAAUACAAGUUCUUGGAGAGAACGAAAUAAUGUAAACUUCUAAGCUGUUUAAUUAGCGUUUGUUCCCCUAUUUUUUUUAAUGGAUAAUGUUGGACACAGAAUUGCUCUGGCAUUUAGAUUCCAUUGGACAUUUAAAAGAAAGAUACAAUUUGUAUUUGAAAAUAUCAAUAUUCAUUUUUCUUUGAAUUUUUUGACUAUAAAAUAUAAUAAAGGCAUAUAGAAAGUGAAAAAAUAUUCAUAAAAUGCUAAAAAGGAUAUCCUUUGGAACUAUUUAAAUUUCUGAUGGAAAAUUUCAAAUGCCAACUUAAAUACAAGAGGGUAGGUCAUGUAAAAAAAUUAUUUAAGGGGCUUUGAAGGCGGCUGUCUGGGGAGUUAAGGUCUUGUGUCUCCAGUGCCCUCUCUCACCCCUAAGGUACUGGGUGGGCCUCUGGAGGUACAUCUGCCUAUACAAGGAAUCUUUGAUGUAGCAAAAAAAAAACACAAAACACAAAAAACCCUCACAGCAUGCCCUGCCCUUGGGCUCUGGAAACCACCGUCCUGCCUGCCCCACUCCUGCUCUCAGCCCCCUCCUCAGGCCUAAGCCUCCCCAACCCUCCCCACCCCCCACCCCACUGCCCCACCCGCAGUCCACCCCGCUGUCGCCUCCCAGCCCUGGCCCGGCCAGCCCUGGAGUAAAUAAACCACCGGGCAAGGACCCAGACAAUGGGCCUUGGCAAGGAGUUAAUGGGCUGGGCCUCUCGCGUUAGCCGAGUGUGACCGGAGCUGGCAGGGGGCCUGGCCUGGCGCCAGCAUCGAUUACGACCAGACGGAGCCAGGGCAGACUUGGCACGAAUGGGCCCCACAGCUGGCAGAUUCAGUCACCCUGGCCACAAGGGCACGAGGCCUGCCCUGGGCGCCGGCUGCCACCGCGGCUGUGCUCCCUGCCACCGCCUUCACUGCCAGUGUGGCAGGGCCGCUUGUCAGGCACUCAGUCCCUAGGCCCUUUUGGUUCUCCCCAGGGGAUUGUCCCUGGUCAGGCCUCUUCCUGUCCCAGGCUGCCUCUGAGGCUGCUCUGUGGCCCCACAGACUGGGUGCAGAGCGGGGGUGGGGUAGGGGGAGGCUGAGGGUUGGGCUGGGGGAUGCAGCUGUGACGCCCCUGCCCCCGGCACUCCCACCACUCCAGGACAGAGGGAGGCUGCUGAGCCAGGCUGGUGUUGGUCAGCAGGAAGAACAGCAACGGGGCCUCAUGAUGUUGCCUAGGCUGGGCUCCAGCUCCUGGAUUCAAGCAAUCCUCCCACCUUGGCCUCUCAGUGUUUUGGGAUUACAGGUGUGAGCCACCACGCCUGGUCUCAAGCCUUCGCUUUCGCAAUCAGCACUAAAGGCAGCCAGAAAUCAACCGUGCGCCACCCCCGACCUGAGAAACAAGUCUAAAUGUGUCCGGAAUUGGUGGGUUCUUAGUUUCACUGACUUCAAGAAUGAAGCCGCGGACCCUCGCGGUGAGUGUUACAGCUCUUAAGGUAGCGCGUCUGAAGUCUGUCCCUUCUGAUGUUCACACGUGUUCCGAGUUUUUUCCUUCUGGUGGGUUUGUGGUCUCGCUGGCUUAGGAGUGAAGCUGCAGACCUUCGCGGUGAGUGUUAUACCUCUUAAGGCAGCGCGUCUGGAGUUGUUUGUUCCUCCCGGUGGGCUCGUGGUCUCAGGAGUGAAGCUGCAGAUCUUCGCGGUGAGUGUUAUAGCUUAUAGCUCAUAGACGCAGCGUGGACCCAAAGAGUGAGCAAUAGCAAGAUUUAUUGCAAAGACCGAAAGAACACAGCUUCUAUCAGCCUGGAAGGGGACCCGAGCGGGUUGCCAAUGCUGGCUUGGGCAGCCUGCUUUUAUUCUCUUAUCUGGCCCCACCCACAUCCUGCUGAUUGGUAGAGCCGAGUGGCCUGUUUCGUCAGGGCGCUGAUUGGUGCGUUUACAAUCCCUGAGCUAGAUACAAAGGUUCUCCACGUCCCCAUUAGAUUAGUUAGGUACAGAGUUUCCACACACAGGUUCUCCAAGGCCCCACCAGAGCAGCUAGAUACAGAGUGUCGAUUGGUGCACUCACAAACCUUGAGCUAAACACAGGGUGCUGAUUGGUGUGUUUACAAUCCCUGAGCUAGAUAUAAAGACUCUCCACGUCCCCACCAGACUCAGGAGCCCAGCUGGUUUCACCUAGUGGAUCCCGCAAUGGGGCUGCAGGUGGAGCUGCCUACCAGUCCUGCGCCGUGCGCUCGCAUUCCUCAGCCCUUGGGUGGUCGAUGGGACUGGGCGCCGUGGAGAAGGGGGCGGCAUUCGUCGGGGAGGCUCGGGCCGCACAGGAGCCUACGGAGGGGGUGGGAGGCUCAGGCAUGGCGGGCUGCAGGUCCCGAGCCCUGCCCCGCGGGAAGGCAGCUAAGGCCCAGCGAGAAAUCGAGCACAGCACCGGUGGGCCGGCACUGCUGGGGGACCGAGUACACCCUCCGCAGCCGCUGGCCUGGGUGCUAAGUCCCCCAUUGCCCGGGGCCAGCAGGGCUGGCUGGCUGCUCCGAGUGCGGGGCCCACCAAGCCCACGCCCACCUGGAACUCCAGCUGGCCCACAAGGCCGCACGCAGCCCCGGUUCCCACUCGUGCCUCUCCCUCCACACCUCCCU